AUUAAACUGAAGAGUUUGAUCCUGGCUCAGAUUGAACGCUGGCGGUAUGCUUAACACAUGCAAGUCGAACGGAAACGAUGGUAGCUUGCUACCAGGCGUCGAGUGGCGGACGGGUGAGUAACGCGUAGGAAUCUGCCUGAUAGUGGGGGAUAGCCCAGAGAAAUCUGGAUUAAUACCGCAUAAUCUCUAUGGAGUAAAGGAGCCCUCUUCUUGAAAGGUUUCGCUAUCAGAUGAGCCUGCGUAAGAUUAGCUUGUUGGUGAGGUAAAAGCUCACCAAGGCGACGAUCUUUAGCUGGUCUGAGAGGAUGAUCAGCCACACUGGAACUGAGACACGGUCCAGACUCCUACGGGAGGCAGCAG
This 360-nucleotide ribosomal RNA is filed under the name Gammaproteobacteria bacterium. Its description in RNAcentral is "bacterial SSU rRNA". It matches the Rfam family "Bacterial small subunit ribosomal RNA", at positions 1 to 354 of the family's 1533-position model. Lineage: Bacteria; Pseudomonadati; Pseudomonadota; Gammaproteobacteria. The record is from RNAcentral.